RNAcentral lists this ribosomal RNA (1522 nucleotides) under Salmonella enterica. Its description in RNAcentral is "bacterial SSU rRNA". It matches the Rfam family "Bacterial small subunit ribosomal RNA". Lineage: Bacteria; Pseudomonadati; Pseudomonadota; Gammaproteobacteria; Enterobacterales; Enterobacteriaceae. The record is from RNAcentral. RNAcentral also lists the same sequence under 1 other name.
AGAGUUUGAUCAUGGCUCAGAUUGAACGCUGGCGGCAGGCCUAACACAUGCAAGUCGAACGGUAACAGGAAGCAGCUUGCUGCUUCGCUGACGAGUGGCGGACGGGUGAGUAAUGUCUGGGAAACUGCCUGAUGGAGGGGGAUAACUACUGGAAACGGUGGCUAAUACCGCAUAACGUCGCAAGACCAAAGAGGGGGACCUUCGGGCCUCUUGCCAUCAGAUGUGCCCAGAUGGGAUUAGCUUGUUGGUGAGGUAACGGCUCACCAAGGCGACGAUCCCUAGCUGGUCUGAGAGGAUGACCAGCCACACUGGAACUGAGACACGGUCCAGACUCCUACGGGAGGCAGCAGUGGGGAAUAUUGCACAAUGGGCGCAAGCCUGAUGCAGCCAUGCCGCGUGUAUGAAGAAGGCCUUCGGGUUGUAAAGUACUUUCAGCGGGGAGGAAGGUGUUGUGGUUAAUAACCACAGCAAUUGACGUUACCCGCAGAAGAAGCACCGGCUAACUCCGUGCCAGCAGCCGCGGUAAUACGGAGGGUGCAAGCGUUAAUCGGAAUUACUGGGCGUAAAGCGCACGCAGGCGGUCUGUCAAGUCGGAUGUGAAAUCCCCGGGCUCAACCUGGGAACUGCAUUCGAAACUGGCAGGCUUGAGUCUUGUAGAGGGGGGUAGAAUUCCAGGUGUAGCGGUGAAAUGCGUAGAGAUCUGGAGGAAUACCGGUGGCGAAGGCGGCCCCCUGGACAAAGACUGACGCUCAGGUGCGAAAGCGUGGGGAGCAAACAGGAUUAGAUACCCUGGUAGUCCACGCCGUAAACGAUGUCUACUUGGAGGUUGUGCCCUUGAGGCGUGGCUUCCGGAGCUAACGCGUUAAGUAGACCGCCUGGGGAGUACGGCCGCAAGGUUAAAACUCAAAUGAAUUGACGGGGGCCCGCACAAGCGGUGGAGCAUGUGGUUUAAUUCGAUGCAACGCGAAGAACCUUACCUGGUCUUGACAUCCACAGAACUUUCCAGAGAUGGAUUGGUGCCUUCGGGAACUGUGAGACAGGUGCUGCAUGGCUGUCGUCAGCUCGUGUUGUGAAAUGUUGGGUUAAGUCCCGCAACGAGCGCAACCCUUAUCCUUUGUUGCCAGCGGUCCGGCCGGGAACUCAAAGGAGACUGCCAGUGAUAAACUGGAGGAAGGUGGGGAUGACGUCAAGUCAUCAUGGCCCUUACGACCAGGGCUACACACGUGCUACAAUGGCGCAUACAAAGAGAAGCGACCUCGCGAGAGCAAGCGGACCUCAUAAAGUGCGUCGUAGUCCGGAUUGGAGUCUGCAACUCGACUCCAUGAAGUCGGAAUCGCUAGUAAUCGUGGAUCAGAAUGCCACGGUGAAUACGUUCCCGGGCCUUGUACACACCGCCCGUCACACCAUGGGAGUGGGUUGCAAAAGAAGUAGGUAGCUUAACCUUCGGGAGGGCGCUUACCACUUUGUGAUUCAUGACUGGGGUGAAGUCGUAACAAGGUAACCGUAGGGGAACCUGCGGUUG